This is a long non-coding RNA of Passer domesticus (house sparrow), 438 nucleotides long. RefSeq lists it as uncharacterized. The transcript has 2 exons. The record is from RefSeq and is a predicted model, not a curated record. Lineage: Eukaryota; Metazoa; Chordata; Aves; Passeriformes; Passeridae.
UACGUCCUAGAUACUUCAGGUGAUGUCAAGUGGCACUAGGCACCAAGCUGUACACAGUCAAAGCAAGCCUUAGAAGUUUAAGUCUGAUCACAGCAUCAGACCUGUCUGGAUCAAUUGACAGAUAAUCAGCAUCAAGAUUGCAAUUUGUCUUCCCAAAUGUUCAGCCUACAAAUCUACUUUAAGAUGAGGUAUAUGGCAGUGCAAACCACAAUGGAUUCACUGACUUUGCAUUCCCUGACUAAGAUGAAAUCUUGGGUCACAAUGGAGACACAGAUGAGGUUUCAUAUAAUCUUUGGGUACAAAAAUUACGUGGCACCAGUUUAAAGUGCUUUUGGAACACACCUAACCUGAAAGUGCCUGAUAUAAUCUAAGUGAAAAAUGAUAAAUUGAACAACAUCAAUGUGAAACAGACUAUUAUUAAACUAUUAGAAAGCUGAA